CACGUAGGGGGCGAGCGUUGUCCGGAUUUAUUGGGCGUAAAGAGCUCGUAGGCGGUUUGAUAAGUCGGGUGUGAAAACUCUGGGCUCAACUCAGAGACGCCACCCGAUACUGUUGUGACUUGAGUCCGGUAGGGGAGUAUGGAAUUCCCGGUGUAGCGGUGAAAUGCGCAGAUAUCGGGAGGAACACCAGUGGCGAAGGCGGUACUCUGGGCCGGAACUGACGCUGAGGAGCGAAAGCGUGGGUAGCGAACAGG
Molecule: ribosomal RNA, 254 nt
Filed under: uncultured bacterium
Lineage: Bacteria
Description: partial 16S ribosomal RNA
Rfam family: Bacterial small subunit ribosomal RNA
Source: RNAcentral